Molecule: long non-coding RNA, 296 nt
Organism: Lolium rigidum
Lineage: Eukaryota; Viridiplantae; Streptophyta; Magnoliopsida; Poales; Poaceae
Exons: 3
Source: RefSeq, a predicted model, not a curated record
GGCCUUGAUCUGCACGGGACAUCCAGUGCCCUCCUUCCCCAGCGAUCCCCUCAACGAGGCUACAUUCCGCCGCAGCAAUUUCUGGGCGUCGUCGUCUCCUCCGACCAUCUCGCCGUAACAUCCUUGGAGCCGCCAAUUAUAGUUCGUCAGUGAGCUGCAGAGAUCAGCGACGCGUUCAAGGGGUUCAUGUAUGACAAGCAGUCAAGACAAUCGAGAUGGCAACAUGCUGACCAAUCUGCAAUCCAAGAACACUUUGGAGCCCAGCAUCCAAGUGGACCUCAUAUUCCGUUGAUUGG